AAUGUUUUGGAAUAUUCGUAUGAAGUUCAUCAUUAAUUUAAUGCAGAGUUAAAAACAAGAGCCAGACACUGUCUCCAGUACAAUGGCUGUGCUGCUGAUGAGGGCCGAAGAAUGAGGGACUAAAUAAUCAGUGUUUUUGUUCUCUUCAAUACAAUUUUAACCAGUACUGACAGCAUCUCCACAACACAGGACUUUCAAAAUAAUUCUUUUCUUUUUUCUUUUUUGCAGUUGGAGUUUAUUUUCAGGUUCCUCUCAGAAACACAGAAACACAUCUCUUCCUAUCUCCGUUCUUUGGAUGGAGGCGACAUGAACGAACACAACCCUCCGAUGAUGAAGCCGAGGAGGUUUAUUGACGGACGGACGUACGAGAGUCUGCUGUCGCUCUCUCCGCCUUCGUUUCCAACGCUGUCGGUGAGAGCGUGGAGAUUCAUCCAUCAGUUAAUCAACGAUAUUAAUAGAUUUUAAAAAGAAAGAGGAAAUAGCGUGAUCGUCUCAGUGAUGCUGCUUUUGGAGGUGGUUUCCCUCGACCGCCUUUCACUCGUGGAGUUCCUCUGGAGUUUGUACCACGUCAAACACAAACAGGUGAACGCCACAGCGCCACUGACCAUGACGGACGAGGAUCCAAGGGAGCUGCGAAGACGUUCUGGAGGAUGUCGACCUGCUGAUGAGGACAUCAGAUCAGACGAGGCGUCGUUCUAAAGUUACAAGGGAGGGACGGCGUCCUGGACCGAAUCCAAACAGCAAACAGAGGUACGCAGCUUCCCUGAGCUGCUCCACCAUCAC
This is a long non-coding RNA of Seriola aureovittata, 783 nucleotides long. RefSeq lists it as uncharacterized. The record is from RefSeq and is a predicted model, not a curated record. The transcript is spliced from 3 exons. Lineage: Eukaryota; Metazoa; Chordata; Actinopteri; Carangiformes; Carangidae.